This 700-nucleotide ribosomal RNA is filed under the name Gammaproteobacteria bacterium. RNAcentral describes it as "bacterial SSU rRNA". It matches the Rfam family "Bacterial small subunit ribosomal RNA", at positions 56 to 775 of the family's 1533-position model. The record is from RNAcentral. Lineage: Bacteria; Pseudomonadati; Pseudomonadota; Gammaproteobacteria.
UGCAGUCGACGAUGAAGCCCUUCGGGGUGGAUUAGUGGCGAACGGGUGAGUAACACGUGGGCAAUCUGCCCUUCACUCUGGGACAAGCCCUGGAAACGGGGUCUAAUACCGGAUAACACUCUGUCCCGCAUGGGACGGGGUUAAAAGCUCCGGCGGUGAAGGAUGAGCCCGCGGCCUAUCAGCUUGUUGGUGGGGUAAUGGCCUACCAAGGCGACGACGGGUAGCCGGCCUGAGAGGGCGACCGGCCACACUGGGACUGAGACACGGCCCAGACUCCUACGGGAGGCAGCAGUGGGGAAUAUUGCACAAUGGGCGAAAGCCUGAUGCAGCGACGCCGCGUGAGGGAUGACGGCCUUCGGGUUGUAAACCUCUUUCAGCAGGGAAGAAGCGAAAGUGACGGUACCUGCAGAAGAAGCGCCGGCUAACUACGUGCCAGCAGCCGCGGUAAUACGUAGGGCGCAAGCGUUGUCCGGAAUUAUUGGGCGUAAAGAGCUCGUAGGCGGCUUGUCACGUCGGAUGUGAAAGCCCGGGGCUUAACCCCGGGUCUGCAUUCGAUACGGGCUAGCUAGAGUGUGGUAGGGGAGAUCGGAAUUCCUGGUGUAGCGGUGAAAUGCGCAGAUAUCAGGAGGAACACCGGUGGCGAAGGCGGAUCUCUGGGCCAUUACUGACGCUGAGGAGCGAAAGCGUGGGGAGCGAACAG